This 1306-nucleotide ribosomal RNA is filed under the name uncultured bacterium. RNAcentral describes it as "bacterial SSU rRNA". It matches the Rfam family "Bacterial small subunit ribosomal RNA", at positions 28 to 1381 of the family's 1533-position model. The record is from RNAcentral.
AACGUACGCUGGCGGCACGCCUAACACAUGCAAGUCGAACGAAGUAGCAAUACUUAGUGGCAGACGGGUGAGUAACAUGUAGGUAUCUGCCCUUUGGCCUGGAAUAACACGAGGAAACUUGUGCUAAUACCGGAUAAGUCUUUACGGAGAAAGCUUUAUGCACCAUUGGAUGAGCCUGCACUUGAUUAGUUUGUUGGUGGGGUAAUGGCCUACCAAGACUGUGAUCAAUAGCUGAUUUGAGAGGAUGAUCAGCCACAUUGGGACUGAGACACGGCCCAAACUCCUACGGGAGGCGGCAGUGGGGAAUCUUGCACAAUGGAGGAAACUCUGAUGCAGCGAUGCCGCGUGAGUGAAGAAGGCCCUUGGGUUGUAAAGCUCUUUCGUCGGGGAAGAAAAUGACUGUACCCGAAUAAGAAGGUCCGGCUAACUUCGUGCCAGCAGCCGCGGUAAUACGAAGGGACCUAGCGUAGUUCGGAAUUACUGGGCUUAAAGAGUUCGUAGGUGGUUGAAAAAGUUAGUGGUGAAAUCCCAGAGCUUAACUCUGGAACUGCCAUUAAAACUUUUCAGCUAGAGUAUGAUAGAGGAAAGCAGAAUUUCUAGUGUAGAGGUGAAAUUCGUAGAUAUUAGAAAGAAUACCAAUUGCGAAGGCAGCUUUCUGGAUCAUUACUGACACUGAGGAACGAAAGCAUGGGUAGCGAAGAGGAUUAGAUACCCUCGUAGUCCAUGCCGUAAACGAUGUGUGUUAGACGUUGGAAAUUUAUUUUCAGUGUCGCAGGGAAACCGAUAAACACACCGCCUGGGGAGUACGACCGCAAGGUUAAAACUCAAAUGAAUUGACGGGGACCCGCACAAGUAGUGGAGCAUGUGGUUUAAUUCGAAGAUACGCGCAGAACCUUACCAACACUUGACAUGUUCGUCGCGACUCUAAGAGAUUAGAGUUUUCGGUUCGGCCGGACGAAACACAGGUGCUGCAUGGCUGUCGUCAGCUCGUGUCGUGAGAUGUUGGGUUAAGUCCCGCAACGAGCACAACCCUCACUUUUAGUUGCCAUCAUUAAGUUGGGCACUCUGAAAGAACUGCCAGUGAUAAGCUGGAGGAAGGUGGGGAUGACGUCAAGUCCUCAUGGCCCUUACGUGUUGGGCUACACACGUGCUACAAUGGUAUCUACAACAGGAAGCAAGACUGCGAAGUUAAGCAAAUCCCUAAAAGAUACCUCAGUUCGGAUUGCACUCUGCAACUCGAGUGCAUGAAGCUGGAAUUACUAGUAAUCGUGGAUCAGCGUGCCACGGUGAAUGCGUUCCCGGGUCU